GUAACAUCAUGAAAGAGUUAAAUAAUAGUAACAAUUGUUACCAAGACGACGUCGUACUUUCGUGUUGUACGAACCAACGCUUCAAUCAUUUUUGCCGUUUCUAAAGGUCAUCGUUUCUUUCAAUAAAGGUCGACAGGAGGUACCUACUUUAAAGGUAUCGAAACUCUAGACACGUAUAUGUAUGAUGAUACUAUUAGUCAUUGUAGUUAAACUGUACUUUCUUCCAGCUUGUUAUGGCUUAAACAUUCAGCUUUUUAGCCGAAGAACCAGUAAAAUACUAAUGAAAUUACAUCAAAAAAAAUGGAAAUAUUAAUUAUCAAUAUUAGUAUUCUUCAUAAAAGCGUAUUUAUAGAUUCCUUUAUUACGCCAGCUCUGCAUAUGUUAUAACGCAACUACACAUACCUAUACAGUAAAACAUUUUUUUAAAUGCUUGGAUGGUUAUUAAAAAUGAUAAACAUUUGUAUAAUAUAGUGGGGGAAGACAGGACACCUUUGGUACAUGAUAUCCGCGUAUACCGAUCGUGUUUUAAAGAGUCUGGACCACGCUCAUACAAGUUGGUUUUAAAUCAAAAUUUACACCUAAUAAAUACUACCUGUGGAAUUUUUUUGUCAAAAAAAUAUUUAGUUUGGCCAAAAAAACGUUUUAAAAAGUGCCAAAAAAUUCGCCUAUGGUUGCGUAACUAGCGGGCACUAUGACGUAAAUUACGUCACGAUCCUGUUCUAAUCGAACAGCUGAUUUAGGCUUUGCUGGCGGAAAAUGAAAUUAUGUUUGCAGCAAAACAGAGUGUGCAGUGUACCGUUCACUUAGCGUUUUCUGUUACUUUUAAAUUAAGUAGUAUGCGUAAAUAUUGCCGUGGCCUGAUUUGAGUUAAUGUUUUUAAAAUUGUUUGUAAGUGUACUACAGUAUUACACUAUUUAAAUUUGUCAGUUAACAAUAAUGUAAAAGUGUGUGAUGUAUAGUCAUGUAGAAGUAUUUUAUCUGAUGAAGUGCUUGAACCUGUACUUCCAGCAAGUGUUGGGGAAGUAGACAGGCCAAGUUUACCUACCAUGGAAAACAAGUCAAGCUGAGCAAAU
Ciona intestinalis (vase tunicate) is the source of this 1073-nucleotide non-coding RNA. Lineage: Eukaryota; Metazoa; Chordata; Ascidiacea; Phlebobranchia; Cionidae. The record is from RefSeq and is a predicted model, not a curated record.